RNAcentral lists this ribosomal RNA (433 nucleotides) under uncultured bacterium. Its description in RNAcentral is "partial 16S ribosomal RNA". It matches the Rfam family "Bacterial small subunit ribosomal RNA", at positions 29 to 507 of the family's 1533-position model. The record is from RNAcentral.
AACGAACGCUGGCGGCAUGCCUAACACAUGCAAGUCGAACGAGACCUUCGGGUCUAGUGGCGCACGGGUGCGUAACGCGUGGGAACCUGCCUUUAGGUUCGGAAUAACUCAGAGAAAUUUGAGCUAAUACCGGAUGAUGUCUUCGGACCAAAGAUUUAUCGCCUUUAGAUGGGCCCGCGUUGGAUUAGCUAGUUGGUGGGGUAAAGGCCUACCAAGGCGACGAUCCAUAGCUGGUCUGAGAGGAUGAUCAGCCACACUGGGACUGAGACACGGCCCAGACUCCUACGGGAGGCAGCAGUGGGGAAUAUUGGGCAAUGGGAGAAAGCCUGAUCCAGCAAUGCCGCGUGAGUGAUGAAGGCCUUAGGGUUGUAAAGCUCUUUUACCCGAGAUGAUAAUGGCAGUAUCGGGAGAAUAAGCUCCGGCUAACUCCGUG